GACGAACGCUGGCGGCGUGCUUAACACAUGCAAGUCGAACGGAAAGGCCCCCACCUUGGUGGGGGUGCUCGAGUGGCGAACGGGUGAGUAACACGUGGGUGAUCUGCCCUGUACUUCGGGAUAAGCUUGGGAAACUGGGUCUAAUACCGGAUAGGACCAUGGUUUAGUGUCUCAUGGUGGAAAAAUUAUUGUUUUGGUGCAGGAUGAGCUCGCGGCCUAUCAGCUUGUUGGUGGGGUAAUGGCCUACCAAGGCGUCGACGGGUAGCCGGCCUGAGAGGGUGGACGGCCACGUUGGGAGUGAGAUACGGGCCAGACUCGGACGGGAGGCAGCAGUGGGGAAUAUCGAACAAUGGGAGCAAGACGGAUGAAGCGACGCCGAGUGGGGGAGGACGGCCUUCGGGUUGUAACCUCCUUUCGUUAGGGACGAAGCCACACCUUUUUUGGGUGUGGUGACGGUACCUUUGUGAAGAAGCACCGGCUAACUACGUG
Molecule: ribosomal RNA, 489 nt
Filed under: uncultured bacterium
Lineage: Bacteria
Description: partial 16S ribosomal RNA
Rfam family: Bacterial small subunit ribosomal RNA
Source: RNAcentral